AUGCCCUACGGCGCGGGGACGAGGUGGCGUUGGGGGCGCUACUGCGGACAUGGAUGGAUAGGAGAUGGGAAGCUCUGGCUGGCCGGCACUCCAGCAGGCGAGGCGGCGACACGAGGCAGGAGGCGGCUCGGUCUGCGGCUACUCGGAUGCUCGGGCAUGGGCGGAGCCGGCGCGAGGAAGUGGAGCCUGGCAUGGCUCCCGCUUGAGGUGGCCUUCCUGGAGGAGCUCGGCGGCGGUGGUCACAGGCCGGCGCGGAGGAGGAAUGGGAGGCCCACGUGA
RNAcentral lists this ribosomal RNA (279 nucleotides) under Triticum aestivum (bread wheat). Its description in RNAcentral is "partial small subunit ribosomal RNA". The record is from RNAcentral. Lineage: Eukaryota; Viridiplantae; Streptophyta; Magnoliopsida; Poales; Poaceae.